Molecule: ribosomal RNA, 548 nt
Filed under: uncultured Glomeromycotina
Lineage: Eukaryota; Fungi; Glomeromycota
Description: SSU rRNA
Rfam family: Eukaryotic small subunit ribosomal RNA
Source: RNAcentral
UUGGAGGGCAAGUCUGGUGCCAGCAGCCGCGGUAAUUCCAGUUCCAAUAGCGUAUAUUAAAGUUGUUGCAGUUAAAAAGCUCGUAGUUGAAUUUCGGGAUUAGUACGCUGGUCGUGCCUUCGGUACGUACUGGUGUUACUGAUUUCUACCUUCUGACGAACCAUCAUGUCAUUAAUUUGAUGUGGUGGGGAAUCAGGACUGUUACUUUGAAAAAAUUAGAGUGUUUAAAGCAGGCUCGCGCUUGAAUACAUUAGCAUGGAAUAAUGAAAUAGGACGUUGAUCCUAUUUUGUUGGUUUCUAGGAUUGACGUAAUGAUUAAUAGGGAUAGUUGGGGGCAUUAGUAUUCAAUUGUCAGAGGUGAAAUUCUUGGAUUUAUUGAAGACUAACUACUGCGAAAGCAUUUGCCAAGGAUGUUUUCAUUAAUCAAGAACGAAAGUUAGGGGAUCGAAGACGAUCAGAUACCGUCGUAGUCUUAACCAUAAACUAUGCCGACUAGGGAUCGGAUGAUGUUAAUUUUUUAAUGACUCAUUCGGCGCCUUACGGGAAAC